RNAcentral lists this ribosomal RNA (857 nucleotides) under Vibrio sp. RNAcentral's name for it is "bacterial SSU rRNA". It matches the Rfam family "Bacterial small subunit ribosomal RNA", at positions 35 to 881 of the family's 1533-position model. The record is from RNAcentral. Lineage: Bacteria; Pseudomonadati; Pseudomonadota; Gammaproteobacteria; Vibrionales; Vibrionaceae.
GCUGGCGGCAGGCCUAACACAUGCAAGUCGAGCGGCAGCACAGAGGAACUUGUUCCUUGGGUGGCGAGCGGCGGACGGGUGAGUAAUGCCUAGGAAAUUGCCCUGAUGUGGGGGAUAACCAUUGGAAACGAUGGCUAAUACCGCAUGAUGCCUACGGGCCAAAGAGGGGGACCUUCGGGCCUCUCGCGUCAGGAUAUGCCUAGGUGGGAUUAGCUAGUUGGUGAGGUAAUGGCUCACCAAGGCGACGAUCCCUAGCUGGUCUGAGAGGAUGAUCAGCCACACUGGAACUGACACACGGUCCAGACUCCUACGGGAGGCAGCAGUGGGGAAUAUUGCACAAUGGGCGCAAGCCUGAUGCAGCCAUGCCGCGUGUAUGAAGAAGGCAUUCGGUCGGUCAAGUAAUUUCCGUCUUGAGGAAGGUGGUGUUGUUAAUAUCAGCAUCAAAAGGCAUUAGCGACAGAAGAAGCACCGGCUAACUCCGUGCCAGCAGCCGCGGUAAUACGGAGGGUGCGAGCGUUAAUCGGAAUUACUGGGCGUAAAGCGCAUGCAGGUGGUGGAUUAAGUCAGAUGUGAAAGCCCGGGGCUCAACCUCGGAACCGCAUUUGAAACUGGUUCACUAGAGUACUGUAGAGGGGGGUAGAAUUUCAGGUGUAGCGGUGAAAUGCGUAGAGAUCUGAAGGAAUACCGGUGGCGAAGGCGGCCCCCUGGACAGAUACUGACACUCAGAUGCGAAAGCGUGGGGAGCAAACAGGAUUAGAUACCCUGGUAGUCCACGCCGUAAACGAUGUCUACUUGGAGGUUGUGGCCUUGAGCCGUGGCUUUCGGAGCUAACGCGUUAAGUAGACCGCCUGGGGAGU